Long non-coding RNA from Dreissena polymorpha, 616 nucleotides. RefSeq lists it as uncharacterized. The transcript has 3 exons. The record is from RefSeq and is a predicted model, not a curated record. NCBI's taxonomy places the organism in Eukaryota, Metazoa, Mollusca, Bivalvia, Myida, Dreissenidae.
UAGUCAAACACAAGCAAAGGGGAAUUACUUAAAAUUUUGGGAUAGUAUAAUAUCGAAAGAGGAUGUGUUGUGCAAAACAGCGACGGGACAAACAUUAAGUUUAGAAUUUUGAGAUAUUGUAAUAUAGAAAGAGGAAGUGUUUUGCAAAACAGCGACGGGACAAAGGUUUCAGGAUAAGCAUGUCAAAAUCAAGCAAGUCGUCUGAAAAUCCGCCGCAUCGGAUGGAACUUUGACGGUUUGUUUUGACCAAUGGUCAAGGUGCUCUGAAUGGAGUAGUCCUCUAACGGGCGUGGCAUGGAAAACCUGUCCUGACCAGUGCAAGGCUAAAGGCUACGAUGGAGGAAAAUGCGUUGAGGUUGCUGCAAAAUGCCCUUUGUCAAAGACAGCAAUGCAGUGUCAAUGUGAUAAAAAAUAAUUAACGUUGUUUUGAAAGCACAAUUGCCGAUCCACAAUUGUGAAUAUUGGUCUAAGUGAUCAAAUUUUAAUAAUGUACCAUUUCAAAUGCAUAUUGACAGUUUAAAAACAUAAUUACUUGAUGUUAAGAUUGGUUUUAGAAAUCGAAUAGAACUUUUUUAAUAUGCUAUUUCUUUUUUUUAACAAUAAAAACUAAAUUUUA